GUGAAUCAUCGAAUUUUUGAACGCACAUUGCACUCCCUUCGAAGCGUAUGCCUGUUUGAGUGUCAGUAUUAAUAAAUUUCGGUGUGUUGCUUCUUUGUGACGAUCCGGCGUUUGGGUCAUCUUAUUAUCCUUUAGGCUGUAAGAGGCUUAAAAUUGACUUUUUUUGCGCAUUUUCGAUGUACAUAAAUUCUUUUUUUUAUUCGUCUGUCUUAAUGCUCAAAUUCCUAUUAGCUGCGACCAUAUCGUUUGGUUUCGUGACUAUAAAU
Molecule: unclassified non-coding RNA, 266 nt
Filed under: Glomeraceae sp.
Lineage: Eukaryota; Fungi; Glomeromycota; Glomeromycetes; Glomerales; Glomeraceae
Description: partial contains 5.8S ribosomal RNA and internal transcribed spacer 2
Source: RNAcentral